UGGGGAAUGUGCCAAAGAGACAACAACCCGACCAUAGAAAAAAACAACAGCAGAAGGUCACCAACAGGUCUUCAAUGUAGCGAGAAAUUUCCGCACACGGAGGCGUCCUUCAGCUGGCCCUAAACAAAUAUAUACUAGUUCAGUGAUAAUGAACGCCAUACUAAUUUCCAAAUUGUACACAAGAAACUAAAAUUAAAAUAAUACAAGACUAACAAAGGCCAGGGGCUCCUGACUUGGGACAGGCGCAAAAAUGCGGCGGGGUUAAACAUGUUUAUGAGAUCUCAACCCUCCCCCUAUACCUCUAGCCAAUGUAGAAAAGUAAACGCAUAAUAAUACGCACAUUAAAAUUCAGUUCAAGAGAAGUCCGAGUCUGAUGUCAGAAGAUGUAACCAAAGAAAAUAAACAAAAUGACAAUAAUACAUAAAUAACAACAGACUACUAGCAGUUAACUGACAUGUCAGCUCCAGAC
Molecule: long non-coding RNA, 469 nt
Filed under: Mytilus galloprovincialis (Mediterranean mussel)
Lineage: Eukaryota; Metazoa; Mollusca; Bivalvia; Mytilida; Mytilidae
Source: RNAcentral